Homo sapiens (human) is the source of this 1442-nucleotide long non-coding RNA. Ensembl annotates it as cancer susceptibility 15. Its record names the gene CASC15. The record is from Ensembl. Lineage: Eukaryota; Metazoa; Chordata; Mammalia; Primates; Hominidae.
GGGAGAAACCUGCCGCCGCUCGCCGCCUCUUUGUCUGCUCCGGGACUUGGAACAAAAGGGGGAACUCUGAUGAACUCUCUUUCCUCCCCUCUCCCCCGGACGCCGGGGUAUCUCCCUCUCGCAACUUUGCCGCCCCGACUUUCUCUGCUGUCAGGCCGGGAAAAAGUGUCCGAACGCCUCGUGGACUGCAGCGGGGGAAAUGUCCCUUAAAAGUGCGACGAAGUGGGGAAGAAGGUGUAAUUACUAUUAUCAGCAUCUAGAAAGCAUCAUGAAUUUGCUGGAGUACUUCCUAGCACUGACCUCCUUCAUUCUGCGUUGUUCUUACUGGAUCUUUCCAUCAGCCAACAAUAUGGAAGUACCAAUACAAGGUCAAAUCAUUCCUGGAUUCAUCUGGAGUUGCUUAAAAGUUAAAUCAUUGGAAUUUUUGAUGAUACCUUUUCUAUAUGGAUUACAAUUUGAUCGCUGGGAAUUCUCCACCUUAAAGAAGACUCUUUUGCUAUCUGGAAACCCAUGUCCACCUCUGACUUCCACUCAAAAUUGCUUUCCUCACAGUCUGACUGCGAGAGUUGUGAAAAAUUGGGAUGUGCUUCUGAGGUGGGCUGUGGAAUGCCAUUAUUGACAGGGUUUCACUAUGUUUGUCAGGCUAGUCGUGAACUCCUGACCUUGUGAUCCGCCAGGCCUCCCAAAGUGCUGGGAUUACAGACAUGAGCCACCACACCCGGCCAAAAUGGGGAAGGCAGUUACCAACCCCUGUGGACAGGAAUCGCUUUUGAAGGUAGGGCUGAGGUGAUCAUCAACCAAGUUGUAAAGAUCAAAACUGACCAGCCUGCCGGAGACUACCUAACCCUGUUCCUGUUUCUGCCGUAUCAAGUGAGGACUUUCUGUUCCCUCUGGCGAUGCUACUCUGUGUGACUCAUGAUUCCACGUAGGCUUGAAGGAAUGGUCUUUAUUCAGUGCCUGUUAGGUGUGAAGCAAGGUAUUAGAAAUUGUAUAUACAUUAUCACAUUGAUGUAUCACAAUCAUCUGCUGGAGGUGGUAUUAUCCCUAAUUUUUAGACAAAAAAAGUGAGAUUCUGAGAGGGAAAGUGUAGUCUCCAAGCUCACACGUGUAGCAGUUCAGAGAAUUCAAACCCAGAUCUCUGUUUUUGAACUCCUUGACCUUGUCUUUAUAAUGUCAUUGCCUCAAAUUUUGUAUCCACCCAAGCUAAAUGGAAGGAAGAAUUUAGUACCUUAGACUUGGUAUAUUGUUUUUCAGGGGAAAUAAGUAUAAGAAAUAGGAUUUCGUUUGGCAUGGAGUAUUUCAUUCAUAUAUGAGAUUUUUAGUGGGAACCCACUUGGUGCUAGACGUUGUUUGUAGGCAUUGGUGAGCCAUAUCUCUGUGCAAGACAGGCGUAGUCCUUGCUCUCAGGGAAUAAUAAAUUAUGCCAUAGCUGUGUAAACCCA